CGGCGGACGGGUGAGUAACACGUGGAUAACCUACCUAUAAGACUGGGAUAACUUCGGGAAACCGGAGCUAAUACCGGAUAAUAUUUUGAACCGCAUGGUUCAAAAGUGAAAGACGGUAUUGCUGUCACUUAUAGAUGGAUCCGCGCUGCAUUAGCUAGUUGGUAAGGUAACGGCUUACCAAGGCAACGAUGCAUAGCCGACCUGAGAGGGUGAUCGGCCACACUGGAACUGAGACACGGUCCAG
Molecule: ribosomal RNA, 244 nt
Filed under: uncultured Staphylococcus sp.
Lineage: Bacteria; Bacillati; Bacillota; Bacilli; Caryophanales; Staphylococcaceae
Description: partial 16S ribosomal RNA
Rfam family: Bacterial small subunit ribosomal RNA
Source: RNAcentral